AAAGGGGUGCUUGCCGGAAUGGUUCCCAAGAAACAGGAAGGCAGGCUGAGAUUAUACCCAUUGAACCUGGACGGAUAAUGCCGGCGAAGGGAAAAAAG
RNAcentral lists this non-coding RNA (98 nucleotides) under Parabacteroides massiliensis. The record is from RNAcentral. Lineage: Bacteria; Pseudomonadati; Bacteroidota; Bacteroidia; Bacteroidales; Tannerellaceae.